This 687-nucleotide long non-coding RNA is filed under the name Phoenix dactylifera (date palm). RNAcentral describes it as "long non-coding RNA (PDAC_LNC005087)". The record is from RNAcentral. Lineage: Eukaryota; Viridiplantae; Streptophyta; Magnoliopsida; Arecales; Arecaceae.
AAGGCUGUAUAGGCCUCGGAUCUCCAUCAUAUCAUCCCAUCAUAGAAAUGAACGACUAUCAGACAACCACCAAUAUUUCUUGUGAUAUACCUUGUUUGACCAUGUUUGACGGCCGUCUCCUCGAUGGGAUGAUGCAGCGGUAAUCAAGGCCUAUAUAGCCUCCUUUGAUGCAAAAGACAUACCGCAGAGGAUCCAAACUCAUGGUCCAAUUAUUUUGAGAAAUUCAAAGUGGUCCGGUUGUUCACCGCCUCGAUGGGAUGAUGCAGCGGUAAUCAAGGCCUAUACAGCCUCCUUUGAUGUAAAAGACACACCGCAAAGGAUCCAAACUCAUGGUCCAAUUGUUUUGAGAAAUCCAAAGUGGUCCGGUUGUUCACCACCUCGAUGGGAUGAUGCAGCGGUAAUUAAGGCCUAUAUAGCCCCCUUUGAUGCAAAAGACACACCGCAGAGGAUCCAAACUCAUGGCCCAAUUGUUUUGAGAAAUCCAAAGUGGUCCAGUUGUUCACCACCUCGAUGGGAUGAUGCAGUGGUAAUCAAAGCUUAUAUAGCCCCCUUUGAUGCAAAAGACACACCGCAGAGGAUCCAAACUCAUGGUCCAAUUGUUUUGAGAAAUUCAAAGUGGUCCGGUUGUUCACCGCAAUGCAAGCAUUUGCAACUAAUAGAUCUCCAUCAUCACAUAUCUGAUAGAUA